Dermochelys coriacea (leatherback sea turtle) is the source of this 1069-nucleotide long non-coding RNA. RefSeq lists it as uncharacterized. The record is from RefSeq and is a predicted model, not a curated record. NCBI's taxonomy places the organism in Eukaryota, Metazoa, Chordata, Testudines, Dermochelyidae. The transcript is spliced from 3 exons.
CCUGCUACAUGCACAUUUUACUAAUGCAGACUGAUAUAUCAAUGACCAAAUUAAGGCAAAAUUAUUUACUGGCUAUUCUUUGUCAUAGUCUCAUCUUUUAGCCUCCCACAGAGACAGUAAAGGACAGUUGGUGUCAUGCCUCCAUGGAUCAAGAGGCAAAAUAAAUAUACAUAAAUUCCAGCAUGACCCAUCUCUCCAAUUAGACAAUUCCAGAGCAAGAGAAGUGUUGGAAGAGGAAUAACAGAAAAGUGUAGUAAGAGGUGCCUUUCUCACAGAAGAAAAGAACAGGAUGAAACAGAGAAAUGGAAACUGACAAGCAGAAUUAUUGUUUGCUGUGUAACAGUGUGAGUCCAACGCACAGUGACAUAAAAGAACCUACAAAAGUGAAGGAGAUGGAUGAAAAAGCUAGUAUCAAUGUGACAAGACAAUGAAAUGCACCAUCCAUAAGAGUGGGAUGUGGGGAGGCAUUCUGGAAAGAAAUUAUUCAUGGAAGUCAGAGAACAGUAUGAAAUAGAACAAGUGGCAAGAAAGGGAAAUUCUUAGCCCUUUAAAACAGAAUGAGAAGACAGAGCAGAAGAUGUUUACAAGAUAAAGCGAGGCCUGUAAAAACGAUCAUAGGAAUUUCAAUGAACCUGUAGCAGACUGACAUAAGAUAUCAAAAUAACAUUUCACUGUUCUAAUGAGCAAAUUAAUGCUAUUCUAGAAUUUGAUUCAUUGGACUAUAACAAGGGCAUCAAUGCUGAUCCCUUUUGACCUGUACUUAACCAGCUUCUCUCAGCAGCCACAGGGGUCUUAACCUCAGAAUGGAGAUUUCCAAAUAUAAUUCCAAUUAAUAAAUGGUUUAUUUAAUGGUGGAGUGUGUUGUCCAUGAAAAGUCUUUUAAGCAUUUCAGAGAGACUAAUUUCUAUUAUAUAUUAAAGCAAUACUAGCCGUGUGUUGAAAUCUGCAAGGCUCACUACCUUUUCUCCUAUUAACCAGGUUUUGUUAAUGAUAGUAUAUUUUAAUUUAUUGUACUGGUUUAUCAUACACCAUGUAUAGACAAAUGUAGAAAUUAUAUGUUCAUUGCAAA